This 486-nucleotide ribosomal RNA is filed under the name uncultured bacterium. RNAcentral describes it as "partial 16S ribosomal RNA". It matches the Rfam family "Bacterial small subunit ribosomal RNA", at positions 899 to 1397 of the family's 1533-position model. The record is from RNAcentral.
ACUCAAAUGAAUUGACGGGGACCUGCACAAGCGGUGGAGCAUGUGGUUCAAUUCGAAACAAAGCGAAAAACCUUACCAGGGUUUGACAUUUUAGCUGCAAGUUCGUGGAAACAUGAACCUUCUUCGAGAGUGCUAGAACAGGUGCUGCAUGGCUGUCGUCAGCUUGUACCGUGAGGCGCACCCUUAAGUGGGUCAACAAGCGCAACCCUCAUCUUGUGUUAAAUAUCACAAGAAACCGCCCGCUAAAAGCGAGGAGGAAGGCGAGGAUGACGUCAAGUCAGCACGGCCCUUAUAUCCUGGGCUACACACAUCCUACAAUGGGUGGUAACAACGAGCUGCAACUGGGCAACCAGAAGCUAAUCUCCUAAAACCAUCCUCAGUUCAGAUUGGAGGCUGCAAUUCGCCUCCAUGAAGUUGAAAUCGCUAGUAAUCGCGGAUCAGCAGGCCGCGGUGAAUACGUUCUCAGGUCUUGUACACACCGCCCGU